UGUGUGUUGGAGUAAGAAAGGACAUACAGAAUAAAAUAAAAAUCACAAAUCUGGAAACGACAUGUAUACGUCAGCUGAUGAACUGAAACCAGACAAAACCAAUUUCAAAACAUUGGUUAAAAAUACACAUGCUCCUGAGAUACCAGGGAUCCUGUCAACUAUUGCUUUUUGGACCUGUCUGAUUCAUCAUGAUGCCCUACUUCUAUAUGGAGUUCACAUCAAUUGGAAACCAUUAGAUGUGUGUGUGUGGAGGAGCCAUUGGAGCCAAACAUUGAGAGGGAACCCAUCCUCAUCUGGGU
Molecule: long non-coding RNA, 299 nt
Organism: Silurus meridionalis
Lineage: Eukaryota; Metazoa; Chordata; Actinopteri; Siluriformes; Siluridae
Exons: 3
Source: RefSeq, a predicted model, not a curated record